Molecule: ribosomal RNA, 1371 nt
Filed under: uncultured bacterium
Lineage: Bacteria
Description: bacterial SSU rRNA
Rfam family: Bacterial small subunit ribosomal RNA
Source: RNAcentral
GAUGAACGCUGGCGGCGUGCCUAAUACAUGCAAGUCGAGCGAACGGACGAGAAGCUUGCUUUUCUGAUGUUAGCGGCGGACGGGUGAGUAACACGUGGAUAACCUACCUAUAAGACUGGGAUAACUUCGGGAAACCGGAGCUAAUACCGGAUAAUAUUUUGAACCGCAUGGUUCAAAAGUGAAGGACGGUCUUGCUGUCACUUAUAGAUGGAUCCGCGCUGCAUUAGCUAGUUGGUAAGGUAACGGCUUACCAAGGCAACGAUGCAUAGCCGACCUGAGAGGGUGAUCGGCCACACUGGAACUGAGACACGGUCCAGACUCCUACGGGAGGCAGCAGUAGGGAAUCUUCCGCAAUGGGCGAAAGCCUGACGGAGCAACGCCGCGUGAGUGAUGAAGGUCUUCGGAUCGUAAAACUCUGUUAUUAGGGAAGAACAUAUGUGUAAGUAACUGUGCACAUCUUGACGGUACCUAAUCAGAAAAGCACGGCUAACUACGUGCCAGCAGCCGCGGUAAUACGUAGGUGGCAAGCGUUAUCCGGAAAUAUUGGGCGUAAAGCGCGCGUAGGCGGUUUUUUAGUCUGAUGUGAAAGCCCACGGCUCAACCGUGGAGGGUCAUUGGAAACUGGAAAACUUGAGUGCAGAAGAGGAAGGUGGAAUUCCAUGUGUAGCGGUGAAAUGCGCAGAGAUAUGGAGGAACACCAGUGGCGAAGGCGACUUUCUGGUCUGUAACUGACGCUGAUGUGCGAAAGCGUGGGGAUCAAACAGGAUUAGAUACCCUGGUAGUCCACGCCGUAAACGAUGAGUGCUAAGUGUUAGGGGGUUUCCGCCCCUUAGUGCUGCAGCUAGCGCAUUAAGCACUCCGCCUGGGGAGUACGACCGCAAGGUUGAAACUCAAAGGAAUUGACGGGGACCCGCACAAGCGGUGGAGCAUGUGGUUUAAUUCGAAGCAACGCGAAGAACCUUACCAAAUCUUGACAUCCUUUGACAACUCUAGAGAUAGAGCCUUCCCCUUCGGGGGACAAAGUGACAGGUGGUGCAUGGUUGUCGUCAGCUCGUGUCGUGAGAUGUUGGGUUAAGUCCCGCAACGAGCGCAACCCUUAAGCUUAGUUGCCAUCAUUAAGUUGGGCACUCUAAGUUGACUGCCGGUGACAAACCGGAGGAAGGUGGGGAUGACGUCAAAUCAUCAUGCCCCUUAUGAUUUGGGCUACACACGUGCUACAAUGGACAAUACAAAGGGCAGCGAAACCGCGAGGUCAAGCAAAUCCCAUAAAGUUGUUCUCAGUUCGGAUUGUAGUCUGCAACUCGACUACAUGAAGCUGGAAUCGCUAGUAAUCGUAGAUCAGCAUGCUACGGUGAAUACGUUCCCGGGUCU